AGGAAUUGGCGGGGGAGCACUACAACGGGUGGAGCCUGCGGUUUAAUUGGAUUCAACGCCGGGAAGCUUACCGGGGGAGACAGCGGGAUGAAGGUCGGGCUGAAGACCUUACCAGACUAGCUGAGAGGUGGUGCAUGGCCGCCGUCAGUUCGUACUGUGAAGCAUCCUGUUAAGUCAGGCAACGAGCGAGACCCGCGCCCCCAGUUGCCAGCGGUUCCCUUCGGGGAAGCCGGGCACACUGGGGGGACUGCCGGCGCUAAGCCGGAGGAAGGUGCGGGCAACGGCAGGUCCGUAUGCCCCGAAUCCCCCGGGCUACACGCGGGCUACAAUGGCCGGGACAAUGGGUACCGACCCCGAAAGGGGUAGGUAAUCCCCUAAACCCGGUCUAACCUGGGAUCGAGGGCUGCAACUCGCCCUUCGUGAACCUGGAAUCCGUAGUAAUCGCGCCUC
Molecule: ribosomal RNA, 450 nt
Filed under: uncultured Archaeoglobales archaeon
Lineage: Archaea; Methanobacteriati; Methanobacteriota; Archaeoglobi; Archaeoglobales
Description: bacterial SSU rRNA
Rfam family: Archaeal small subunit ribosomal RNA
Source: RNAcentral